GUUUAUUAAACUCUUUGCUGCCUGCAGCCUUUGUGUUGUCAGUGAGGAUAAAAGUAUGAAGUAAGAUGUUGCAUUAUGGACUUGCCGACAUACAUAUUGUGGAAUAUGUGCAUUCUUGAAGGAAAUAACAAGGAUGCUCUGCAAUUCCUACAGUGAAUGAAACAAUAUGGACUUGCCGAUAUACAUAUUGUAGAACAUGUGCAUUCUUGAAAGAAAUAACUCUACAAAUCGUACGGUGAAUCAAACAAUGUGGACUUGUCGACAUGCAUAUUGGGGAAUAUGUGCAUUCCUGAAGAAAAUAACGUGACAAGCAAUCGUGGGCCCUAACUGAAGAGAACCAUUUCAAAGAAUGGAACCAAUGUAUUCUUACCGUAGGAUUUCAAAGAGGCUGCUGCUUUUAUUAAAUUUGAAAUAAUCCUCACUCGAACAAUACAAUAUACCUUUGGUGCAUUUGGUGCAAAUGGAUUGGCUUGAAUAACUAAACACGUCAAGACGAGAACUGUUGGAAGAAAACCAGGCAAAUCAGAGGAUGCAUGAUUUCAAAUCCUAGAAUUACUAGUAAAUGGCUACCUAAUCAAAGACUUUGAAUCAAAUAUAGAGAAUACCGGCAAUGCAAAACAAAGAAUAUUAGAAAAACAUCAUUAGCUAUGAAAUAUGCUGCAGCUGGCUGCUACUGCAAUUCUUGGUCAACUCUCAAAAUAAAUGGAAGGCUCUCGUGCUUCUUGAUAGUGAAGGUUUCGAAAUAGACAAUGGAUGGAAGAGAAAAACCACAUGAGUAGUACUACAUAUAUGAUACAAAAUUUAAUGCAAUUUAUUUUAUAUUCCAGUUGAAAGUGAUGACAAUACAGCCAUGGACUUCACUGUUACGGUUUAAUAGCACAAUUGCAAUGAUGCAAAUUCCUUGCAGUGAGUAAUGCCUUCCAGAUAUACAGUUCAUCCUGCGCCUCUUUUUUAACCAUUGGAAAAGGUAUUUCAUGGAAUAUAAUAUUUCAAAUGUACUAUUAAAUAAGUUUGGUUGUCUGUUAAGAAGUUUUGAGCAAGCACUGUUUAUUUUUCAAUUUAAAUAAAUGCCUAUUAUUAUUCAAUCAAUGAAGAUUAUCACAGAUAAAAUUUGAUAAACUAUUGAUUCGAAUAAUUAAAAGUAGUAAUAUGUAUUUGAAUGUAGAUAAUCCCUGUGAAUUACUGGUUUAAAU
This is a long non-coding RNA of Ctenocephalides felis (cat flea), 1193 nucleotides long. RefSeq lists it as uncharacterized. NCBI's taxonomy places the organism in Eukaryota, Metazoa, Arthropoda, Insecta, Siphonaptera, Pulicidae. The record is from RefSeq and is a predicted model, not a curated record. The transcript has 5 exons.